This 266-nucleotide ribosomal RNA is filed under the name uncultured bacterium. Its description in RNAcentral is "partial 16S ribosomal RNA". It matches the Rfam family "Bacterial small subunit ribosomal RNA", at positions 1234 to 1500 of the family's 1533-position model. The record is from RNAcentral.
CGUACAACAGAGAGAAGCGAGACGGAGACGUUAAGCGAACCCAAAAAAGUAAGUCUCAGUUCGGAUUNAAGGCUGAAAUUCGCCUUCAUGAAGCCGGAAUUGCUAGUAAUGGCAGGUCAGCAUACUGCCGUGAAUACGUUCCCGGGCCUUGUACACACCGCCCGUCACACCAUGAGAGUUGGGAAUACCCGAAGCCUGUGAACUAACGAAAGAGGCAGCAGUCGAAGGUAGAAUCAAUGAUUGGGGUGAAGUCGUAACAAGGUAAC